This 2923-nucleotide ribosomal RNA is filed under the name Campylobacter coli. RNAcentral describes it as "23S ribosomal RNA". It matches the Rfam family "Bacterial large subunit ribosomal RNA". Lineage: Bacteria; Pseudomonadati; Campylobacterota; Epsilonproteobacteria; Campylobacterales; Campylobacteraceae. The record is from RNAcentral.
AAAAAAGGUAAGCUACUAAGAGCGAAUGGUGGAUGCCUUGACUGGUAAAGGCGAUGAAGGACGUACUAGACUGCGAUAAGCUACGGGGAGCUGUCAAGAAGCUUUGAUCCGUAGAUUUCCGAAUGGGGCAACCCAAUGUAUAGAGAUAUACAUUACCUAUAUAGGAGCGAACGAGGGGAAUUGAAACAUCUUAGUACCCUCAGGAAAAGAAAUCAAUAGAGAUUGCGUCAGUAGCGGCGAGCGAAAGCGUAAGAGGGCAAACCCAGUGCUUGCACUGGGGGUUGUAGGACUGCAAUGUGCAAGAGGUGAGUUUAGCAGAACAUUCUGGAAAGUAUAGCCAUAGAGGGUGAUAGUCCCGUAUGCGAAAAACAAACCUUAGCUAGCAGUAUCCUGAGUAGGGCGGGACACGAGAAAUCCUGUCUGAAGCUGGGUCGACCACGAUCCAACCCUAAAUACUAAUACCAGAUCGAUAGUGCACAAGUACCGUGAGGGAAAGGUGAAAAGAACUGAGGUGAUCAGAGUGAAAUAGAACCUGAAACCAUUUGCUUACAAUCAUUCAGAGCACUAUGUAGCAAUACAGUGUGAUGGACUGCCUUUUGCAUAAUGAGCCUGCGAGUUGUGGUGUCUGGCAAGGUUAAGCAAACGCGAAGCCGUAGCGAAAGCGAGUCUGAAUAGGGCGCUUAGUCAGAUGCUGCAGACCCGAAACGAAGUGAUCUAUCCAUGAGCAAGUUGAAGCUAGUGUAAGAACUAGUGGAGGACUGAACCCAUAGGCGUUGAAAAGCCCCGGGAUGACUUGUGGAUAGGGGUGAAAGGCCAAUCAAACUUCGUGAUAGCUGGUUCUCUCCGAAAUAUAUUUAGGUAUAGCGUUGUGUCGUAAUAUAAGGGGGUAGAGCACUGAAUGGGCUAGGGCAUACACCAAUGUACCAAACCCUAUCAAACUCCGAAUACCUUAUAUGUAAUCACAGCAGUCAGGCGGCGAGUGAUAAAAUCCGUCGUCAAGAGGGAAACAACCCAGACUACCAGCUAAGGUCCCUAAAUCUUACUUAAGUGGAAAACGAUGUGAAGUUACUUAAACAACCAGGAGGUUGGCUUAGAAGCAGCCAUCCUUUAAAGAAAGCGUAAUAGCUCACUGGUCUAGUGAUUUUGCGCGGAAAAUAUAACGGGGCUAAAGUAAGUACCGAAGCUGUAGACUUGAUUUUAUCAAGUGGUAGGAGAGCGUUCUAUUUGCGUCGAAGGUAUACCGGUAAGGAGUGCUGGAGCGAAUAGAAGUGAGCAUGCAGGCAUGAGUAGCGAUAAUUAAUGUGAGAAUCAUUAACGCCGUAAACCCAAGGUUUCCUACGCGAUGCUCGUCAUCGUAGGGUUAGUCGGGUCCUAAGUCGAGUCCGAAAGGGGUAGACGAUGGCAAAUUGGUUAAUAUUCCAAUACCAACAUUAGUGUGCGAUGGAAGGACGCUUAGGGCUAAGGGGGCUAGCGGAUGGAAGUGCUAGUCUAAGGUCGUAGGAGGUUAUACAGGCAAAUCCGUAUAACAAUACUCCGAGAACUGAAAGGCUUUUUGAAGUCUUCGGAUGGAUAGAAGAACCCCUGAUGCCGUCGAGCCAAGAAAAGUUUCUAAGUUUAGCUAAUGUUGCCCGUACCGUAAACCGACACAGGUGGGUGGGAUGAGUAUUCUAAGGCGCGUGGAAGAACUCUCUUUAAGGAACUCUGCAAAAUAGCACCGUAUCUUCGGUAUAAGGUGUGGUUAGCUUUGUAUUAGGAUUUACUCCGAAAGCAAGGAAACUUACAACAAAGAGUCCCUCCCGACUGUUUACCAAAAACACAGCACUCUGCUAACUCGUAAGAGGAUGUAUAGGGUGUGACGCCUGCCCGGUGCUCGAAGGUUAAUUGAUGGGGUUAGCAUUAGCGAAGCUCUUGAUCGAAGCCCGAGUAAACGGCGGCCGUAACUAUAACGGUCCUAAGGUAGCGAAAUUCCUUGUCGGUUAAAUACCGACCUGCAUGAAUGGCGUAACGAGAUGGGAGCUGUCUCAAAGAGGGAUCCAGUGAAAUUGUAGUGGAGGUGAAAAUUCCUCCUACCCGCGGCAAGACGGAGAGACCCCGUGGACCUUUACUACAGCUUGACACUGCUAUUUGGAUAAGAAUGUGCAGGAUAGGUGGGAGGCUUUGAGUAUAUGACGCCAGUUGUAUAUGAGCCAUUGUUGAGAUACCACUCUUUCUUAUUUGGGUAGCUAACCAGCUUGAGUUAUCCUCAAGUGGGACAAUGUCUGGUGGGUAGUUUGACUGGGGCGGUCGCCUCCCAAAUAAUAACGGAGGCUUACAAAGGUUGGCUCAGAACGGUUGGAAAUCGUUCGUAGAGUAUAAAGGUAUAAGCCAGCUUAACUGCAAGACAUACAAGUCAAGCAGAGACGAAAGUCGGUCUUAGUGAUCCGGUGGUUCUGUGUGGAAGGGCCAUCGCUCAAAGGAUAAAAGGUACCCCGGGGAUAACAGGCUGAUCUCCCCCAAGAGCUCACAUCGACGGGGAGGUUUGGCACCUCGAUGUCGGCUCAUCGCAUCCUGGGGCUGGAGCAGGUCCCAAGGGUAUGGCUGUUCGCCAUUUAAAGCGGUACGCGAGCUGGGUUCAGAACGUCGUGAGACAGUUCGGUCCCUAUCUGCCGUGGGCGUAAGAAGAUUGAAGAGAUUUGACCCUAGUACGAGAGGACCGGGUUGAACAAACCACUGGUGUAGCUGUUGUUCUGCCAAGAGCAUCGCAGCGUAGCUAAGUUUGGAAAGGAUAAACGCUGAAAGCAUCUAAGCGUGAAGCCAACUCUAAGAUGAAUCUUCUCUAAGCUCUCUAGAAGACUACUAGUUUGAUAGGCUGGGUGUGUAAUGGAUGAAAGUCCUUUAGCUGACCAGUACUAAUAGAGCGUUUGGCUUAUCUUUAAUAAAGCAU